RNAcentral lists this long non-coding RNA (435 nucleotides) under Ictidomys tridecemlineatus (thirteen-lined ground squirrel). Its description in RNAcentral is "lncRNA (ENSSTOG00000033195.1)". The record is from RNAcentral. Lineage: Eukaryota; Metazoa; Chordata; Mammalia; Rodentia; Sciuridae.
GGAGGGCAGACCUCAAGGAGCCAGGAGGGGCCACCGGGAGGGCCGAAGUGGCCGCAGGGCUCCCUGCCUCCCCCAGCUGCAGGGCCUGGCGAGGCUGAGCGCGGGGCCAGCUGGAGGCCCAGGGGUGGUGUCCGCAGACCUGGCCGCUGUGCACCAGGGGCCGCUGGAGCUGGAUGACAUCCAGUGACCGGCUGCUUCCCGAGGACUGGCCUUGGCUCACCCCGUGUCCCUCUGCCUGGAAUUCCCCUGGCGUCUUCCCAGCCUGACCUCAGCUUGGGGGCCACUUCUUCCUGAAGGCUCCUGAAUGUCCAGCUGGACAGUCCCCCUGAAUGGAUUCCACUGGAAUGACCACUGAGCAAGGGGACCUUCCUGGAGCCAUCAUAUUCACAAUGCCCAGCAAACAGUAGGUGCUCAAUAAACAUCUGUCUCACAAAC